GGCCAUAUCUCAUCUGGGAGAGCACCUGCUUUGCAAGCAGGGGGUCGGCGGUUCGAUCCCGCCUGGCUCCACCAGG
RNAcentral lists this transfer RNA (76 nucleotides) under uncultured Thiotrichales bacterium. RNAcentral's name for it is "tRNA-Ala". It matches the Rfam family "tRNA". Rfam says of the family: Transfer RNA (tRNA) molecules are approximately 80 nucleotides in length. Their secondary structure includes four short double-helical elements and three loops (D, anti-codon, and T loops). Further hydrogen bonds mediate the characteristic L-shaped molecular structure. tRNAs have two regions of fundamental functional importance: the anti-codon, which is responsible for specific mRNA codon recognition, and the 3' end, to which the tRNAs corresponding amino acid is attached (by aminoacyl-tRNA synthetases). tRNAs cope with the degeneracy of the genetic code in two manners: having more than one tRNA (with a specific anti-codon) for a particular amino acid; and 'wobble' base-pairing, i.e. permitting non-standard base-pairing at the 3rd anti-codon position. The record is from RNAcentral. Lineage: Bacteria; Pseudomonadati; Pseudomonadota; Gammaproteobacteria; Thiotrichales.